Equus asinus (donkey) is the source of this 6808-nucleotide long non-coding RNA. NCBI's taxonomy places the organism in Eukaryota, Metazoa, Chordata, Mammalia, Perissodactyla, Equidae. The record is from Ensembl.
GAUGAGGUAAUGCUCCGCUGCCCUCCCACAGUCGGGCCCUUCUUUCCCCUCCCCCCCGCGGGACGCCCCCCCCGCGCGUGGCUCCGGCCGGCCCGGUGCAUUGUGGGCUGACGUCGUGGGGUUUGACGGGGGACGGCGCCCGCGGCCUCGGGCAGGCGGGCUUGGGGCGGGCUGCUGCGCGGCGGACGGCACUGCUCCCGGGCCGCGCGGGCCGGCCCCCGCUUCCGGCGGGAGCGGCCUCAGGGCUCGCGGCCCCGGGUGGGCGCGGGGCGGCUCCCGCUCGGGCGGGCCGCGUGGAGGCGCGCGGGCGCCUGUCCCUGCCGAGCUCGCGGGCGGCCGCCGCCCCGGCGGGGCGCUCAGGGAAUCCGACACUCGGAGAACCCGGGCGCGCCCGCUCCCGCCGCCGCGCGCUCACGCUCGCUCACAUUCGCUCACACUCACACGCGCCCCGCUCCCGCCCCGAUCCGCUUCCGGGAAGACGGCUCCGAGAGGGCCGCCGCAGCCCCGCCGGGCCGGGCUGGGCCGGGCCGGGGCCGGGGAAGGUGGGCGCCGGCCGGCGGCGGGCCCGCGUCCUGCGGCCUCUAGGAAGCGCUAGACCCAUGCUGGCGGCCGCUCCGACGCCGCCGCCCCCGCGCCUCUGGGGCCAGAAAACUUGGGGGAUCCACCUUGGACUUGUAACCGCGAGCCUGAAAGUGUUUGUGGCUUUGAGAGUGGAGAGUCGACAGCCCGACAGCAGCCGUGUUAGCGGGAUCCUGAGCACUUUUCUCCCCUCCAGGCGCUCACCUCCUUCCCUGUGCGAAGACUUUGUUGUAAAAUGUGGUUGUCUGCAGAGGAAAUGACACUUAGAUGGUCGGAUGGAAGGAACGGUCUUGCCUGAUUCUCUAACUCCUCUCAGAGUGCCUGUAUUUAGAAACUUCAGGACUUAAGGAGACUUCUGCUCACCGUGUUCCCUGGAGGCCUCGCGCUGAAGAGGACUGCAUCCUGGCGCGUGCUUCUCGCUCCUGUCUUGGCUGGGGGGCGAGGAGGCCGCGGAUUAUUCACUGGCUCUCAGAGCAUCCACCUGGAAGUGACACUCUGCACUUUUGCUCCUGCAUCACUGGCCAAAGGUUGGCAGGGACGCUGGUCACAUUGCUUUGCUCUGGGACGCAGCCUGAUGGAGCACCGGCUUUCAGGAACGUCACAGAUCUCGUGGAAGAGGGAGAAGGUGGGCAGUUGCAGGCCUCUUCCACAUGGACAACGAGUGUGUAAAUCCUGUGGACAGAUUGAUCUGAGAAGAGAGAGCAAAUGGCUGAGAUGGGCAUGCUGGGUCUUUCUCCUGAACUCAGCAAUCAGCUUGGAUAUGUGCAUCCACAUCACAAUUGGAGUAAAGAGGCAGAAAUGAAGAAAGCUGAAAUACAACUAUGCAAGUGAAUUGAGUUAUUGGAGGGUAUGCGUGGACUAGACUUUUGUCAAGGAGGAAUGUGUACCUGUUGUAUACACCGUCACCCUUAUGGCAAUGUCUUCCCAGCACUCACACUUCCACAAAACCUGAGGGGUCAUAAAGUGGCAAGAGUCCUUAGAGGCUGUCUUCCAAGUCCUGCCCUUUUCCCAAUCCUGGAUCCCUUUGGCAGCAUCUUCACUGUUUAAAUACUUCUUUUGAUACUCAGAGCUGGGGAGUGAUAAUUCUACUGAAUGCUGCUGGUUGGAGCUCAUUGGGAACAUUGUGGACCUGAAACUGUGGAGAGCAACUUCGACCAAGCAGAGAGAUCUCAGAGAAGGUCGGCCAAGUGGUGAGAAGCUUGACACUCUGUCCCACAGAGAGGAAUUGAAGGCCCUGGGAAUAUUUACCCAGGGGGGAAAAUAAAAGACCAUGAGAGCACAUACGGAAGUCUCCAAAUAGUUGUGCAACUGUCACCUGGGAGAGUUGACUUAUUCUGUAGGUUUUGAGGUCAGAGUGAGGGUAAUGGUUAGAAGUUAGAGAGGCAAACUGCUGUAUUUAAGGCAGAACUUUCUGAAGUUACAGUCAUUUAUCAAUGGGAUAGUUGCCUUAAAAGUAGAUUUGAAGUUCAUCUGUUCAAUACAUCGUUAUUGUCUACUCUGUGCCAGACAGCAUGCUGGGUUAGUUUAUGAUAAUUCCUAGUGAGCCCAUAGUAACUUGCAAUCAUCAUUUUAUUUUCAAAGUUCAUAAAAGCCAUCUUUAGAUAUUCUCUUUUAGAAUAUGUCGGGGAAUGGUCACCAAUAUUGGUGGUUUCUCAAGUCUGGCGUUGACCCUUUUUUUACUCUCAAAAUUUGAAAACCUGGGAUGAUAUUUUCUUAUGUCCAGUGUUAAGUUAGAAGGACCUUCUUCUACCAAAACAAGUGUUUUCACUAUCCAUAAAUCAAAAUUACUGGUACUUGAGAUCACUUAAGACUAGAUACUCCCUUGCCAUUUGUGGCAGAAGAACUUCAGUGUUCACCAAACUCUUUUUCCUUUUCCUCCUGUGCAUGCAGAUAAACUACAUUUCCCAGCCUCCUUUGUAAUUAAGUGUGGCCAUGUGGCUGGGUUUUAGCCAAUGAAAAGAGGAUGAAUGUAGUGUGUGCUACUUACAAGCCUGGCUCAUAAAACUCUCUCUUCCCAUCUCCUGGUUAAAUAUCAGGGACGGGACGUAGAGAAGGUCAGAGCCGUAGAUGGAAGGAGCUGGAUUUCUGAAUGACCGCAUGGAAGAUUGCCCGCCAAGCAGGAACAGUCGCAUUGGACUUUGCCUGAGUGAGAAAUCAACUUUAUUGUGUCGAAGCACCAAGAUUUUGGAGUAUAAAUGUGAAGCUGCUAGGGUCUUCUUAUUCCAACUGGUACUACAGGAUAUCCUCAAUGAGAGGAAAAAUAUGCAACUGAAGUUAGGGAUUGUGUACUGCCCUUUCCAGUCUUAAGAGAACUCAGAGAGGAGGCAGGAGCAGACAACUUAGCCCUGAGUGGCAUCCUGAGGCUUCCUGUUGCUAAUGUUUUCUCCUGUCUAAUUUAUAAACUUCGUGAGACAUGUUGCCAUGUCUUGUACCUUUUUCUAUAUUUAACAUUUCAGUGGAUAUUUAUUGAGAAAUGACAUAUACUUUGGGGAUUUCAAAAGAAAUAUAGGUAACACAUAUUGUUAAAUAUUUUGUUCAUUUAUUCAACAAUUUUUGACCAUUUGCUAUGGGCCGGCCACUGGUAAAUGCUGAUGAGCAAAAGCUACAGUACCUGCCCAUGAGUUGGAGUACAGCAAGGAAAACAAGAUAACAAAGAGGCAAGACUAGUCCAGUAUGAUAAUGCUAUGAGGAAGAAGAACAGGAUGUUCUGGGUGCUCACAAAGGGGCUGGUGACAAAGGUAGCAGUCAGAGAAUUGUUCUCUAAGGAGGUGAUGAAUAAACUGAGACCUCAAGGAUAAGUAGGAGUAGCCAGAAGAAGAAACAGCGGAGAGAGAAAGAGCGUUCUAGGAAGAGGGCGUGCACAUACAAAAUCCUGAAGGUGGGGCGUGUUUGGAGGGACCAAAAGGUAAGCUGGAAAGGAAGAAUGGAGAGGAUGAGCAUGAGAUGAGGGCCACGUAAUAUAUUUGGGCACAUUCCUAAUAAAUGCAUACAGAAGGCCUUGUACUGUAAUAUGUGUAUGCAUUUACCUAGCAGAAAAUAUGGCCGAUUAACCAGCAAGAUGUCAACAGUUGUGAUAUUUGGGUAAUUUCCAUUUUUCCCCUUAUGCUUUUCUGUUUAAAACUUUCCACAAUAAACACGUAUUACACUUGUAAUAAAAAAAUCAAAAUAGGGCCAGCCCCAUGGCCGAGUGGUUAAAGUUCCGCGCACUCUGCUUUGGCGGCCCGGGGUUUGCGGGUUUGGAUCCUGGGCCUGGACCUGCUCCACUCAUCAGCCAUGCGGUGGUGGCAUCCCACAUACUAAGUAGAGGAAGAUUGGCACAGAUGUUAGCUCAGGGCUAAUCGUCCUCAAGCAAAAAAAAGAGGAAGAUUGGCACAGAUGUUAGCUCAGGGCGAAUCUUCCUCACGCACACACAAAAUAAAUCAAAGUCAAUGUUUUUCUUAUUAGUUAUAGCUGCACCUGCUGUCCAUCAUUGGAUCCUCACAAAAGUCCUCUGAGCAAACAGAGGUCCAGAGCUGAUCUCCAGGGAAGCUGGAAUCAGCCUUCCUAAGGCCCCGCUCAGUCCCCUUUCUCCGCGGCUCCUGCCUCCUCUGCAGUUUUCUGAGUGGUGACGAUGGCUUUUCUUGUUGCUGCUGUCUUCAGGGCAGUGGUGCGUGUGUGUGUAGUUUGCAACCUGGAGAAACCGGGUCACCAUCUUCAUGAUCCUGACAUACCUAGGAGGCUUCCCACCUGAAGAGGUGGGUCCCCUGCAUCAGUAGCCCCAGACUUAUCUUCUUUGUGGUGCUGUUAUGUUCUGUCAUUGGCAGUAGGGGAGAAGGUCACUGCUAAUUUUUAAAAAUGAAGUUAGGGAGGAGAUUGUUGCCCGUUAUUCCGUCAACCCACAUCUUGAUCGACUAGCAUGUGGGUGCUUGGCCACACCAGUGAUGAUGAGUAUUUUCAGUGAACACCCAAACACUUGAGAGUCUUGAAACACUGUAUUAGCAUUUUCUAAAUUAUGUUGUGGCAACAAACCAGCCCUCAGAUCUCAGAGGCUUAAAACACACGAGUUUAUUUCAUAUGCAUGUUACGUUCCCAUCCUGACUUAGGCGUUAACUCUUUACUCUGAGACCCAGGCUGAAGGAGCAGCCCCCGUCUGAGAUAUUGCUGUGUGUCCCAGGGAAGAGGAGGAGGUGACACCGUGGGAUAGCUCUUAAAGCUUUGCCCGCAUGUCACUUCCACUCAUCUUUGAUUGGUCAAUCAAUUUGAUUGACCAAGGCUUGAUGGGGAGGGAGGGGCAGCAAAUGGUUUGGCAAACACCUUUUCAGCAAACUGAGUCUCAGUUUCUUUAGCUACAAAAUGGAAAUAGGUAAAAUACGUUAUGUUAUAUUCAAACCAUCGAAUAUCAUGUAGUCAUUUUAAAAGAUGAGUUAAUUGCCCUUAAAAAGAUGAGUUGACUUGAAGAAAAGCCCAUGAUACAACAUUACAUGAAGGAAGCAAGUUGCAGAGUCAUGUGCAUAGCAUGGGCUUAUUUUUGCAUAAAUUAAAAAAAACCCUAUAUCGGAGUAUAUUUGUUUGCAUGAGAAUAUUAAUAAAAACUGCCAACGUUUAUUGAGUGCUUAUAUCACAUGCUCAUCACUGUGCUAAGUGCCUUUUUACAUGCAUUUGCUCAUUUAAUCCUUCGGAAGCUCAGAGAAAAGAGUAGAAAGUUACAUAUCAAAUGGUUAUGAUCAGCUACCUUACUUGAGGGUGGGAUUAGAGAGAUUUUAUUCACUUUUUAAAAUAUAUGAUUUCUAUAAAUUUUUACUUGUCACAAUUGGUGGAUUAAUCAGCUUUUGUUGUGAAACAAACUGCCACAGAAUCUGAGUGCUGUAGAGUGUUAAGUAUUUUAUUUUCCGCUUGUGGGUCCGCAGACCAGCUGAGGCGUCAGCCUUCCCAAGUCCCCAUCCCCUUUCUCCCCACUGUGCCUGCCUCCCCUGCACAUUUCUAAGGAGUGAUGAUGGCUUUUCCUGGAGCUGCUGACUUUAGUGCAGUGUUGUGUGUAUUCACGUGUAACCUGGAGAAAUAGGGCUGGGGGUCAAAUUCAGAUCUGCUCCAUGUGUCUCAUUCUAGAAUCAUCCUAGAGAGGCAGAAUCUACCAGGGAUCUGUUCCCCUCAUGGCGGAGAUUGGAGUCAAUGGAAACACAGGAAGGUUUUUGAGACCGAGGCUUUGAAUUAGUAUGUCAUCACUUUGCCUGCAUCAUGUUAGUUGCAGCAAGUCACUUGGCCAAGUCUAAUAUCAGUGGAGCUGGGAAGUCAUGGAGGUUGUGGAAGGGGGAGUUUAUAGCAAUAUACUACAAUAAGCAUUAAUUGCUUUCUUGGUUAAAAAAAAUAACAAAGUGAGGAAAAGAGAAAUACUUACCAGGGAUAGUUUAAAUUGCGUUCAAUAUGUUCCAAAGGUGCAUUAUGCAUUUCUUAAAAAUUCAAACUCCAUAUCUACAGUUAUGAUGAGCACAGUGACAUGAGCACGGACGUUUAAUGAACAGAGUCUUCAUCGCCUGGUGGGGCAGGGAGGCGUUUGCACCAGCUUGGCUUAUGCUGCCUGUGGUGUGGCAGAAUGCAUUAUCUGGAGACGUUUAACGGCCUUCUGUAUACAUCACUGCUACUUGUGUGACCAUCUGCAAUCCAAGGAACUUAAAUCAUGAAAUCACAGACUCUCAGACCUGGAAGGACUCUGGUGCCCGUAGUAGGGGGCUGCCUCCUAAUUUCCAUGGACAGCUGCGUUUGCCAGUUAUAGUCAUUCUUGAGUGGGUGUGUCUCACAUUGCUGGAAAAUGGUUAUGGACAUCAAAAUGCCUUCAUCUAGCCAAUGGGGACAGUGAGCCCCCAGCUGUGCUGUACCUGAGUGAUACAGUAAGUUAGUGGCCAAACUGGGAUGGAAACUCAGAUGUCUUGAGUGGGCCUAGGGCCUUUUACAUUAUUUUUCUGCAAAACACAAACAUCAAGGUUAUGGAUCAUUUGGGAAUAUUCAUUAGGCCCUGGAACUUCCAUUUGCUGUCUUUAAAAAAUGUAUGAGGGGCUGGCCCCGUGGCCGAGUGGUUAAGUUCGCGCGCUCCGCUGCAGGCGGCCCAGUGUUUCGUUGGUUCGAAUCCUGGGCGCGGACAUGGCACUGCUCAUCAAACCACACUGAGGCAGCGUCCCACAUGCCACAACUAGAAGGACCCACAACGAAGAAUAUACAACUAUGUACCGGGGGCUUUGGGGAGAAAAAGAAAAAU